Long non-coding RNA from Juglans microcarpa x Juglans regia, 1062 nucleotides. RefSeq lists it as uncharacterized. The transcript is spliced from 2 exons. The record is from RefSeq and is a predicted model, not a curated record. NCBI's taxonomy places the organism in Eukaryota, Viridiplantae, Streptophyta, Magnoliopsida, Fagales, Juglandaceae.
CAGGUGAUAAAUGUUCAUAAGAAAUAGAAGAAGACAAAGGAAAUGGUAUACCUGGUGUAUGAGAUGCCUUGACCAAUGAUUGAGUGGGUGAGAUUGAAGUAGCUUGCUGACAGUGAAAGUCUCUGAGAUAUUGAGGGGCUUUCCUUGUUCUAGUGGUUUUCCUAAGAGAAGAUUUGGAUGCAGGUUCUUCAUGUAAUUGAAGAGGAAAAAUGGGAGAAGGAACUAUUGGAGCAGAAGAAAUGGGUGGUGGAAGUUGAUUUUCUGGAGGAAUGGGCAGAGUAGUUGUAGUGGAGGGUGAAGGAUUAGAAAAAUGAGAAUAGGAAAGAGGGUGAUGAAGUGAUGAUUGUGGGGGUGGUGAAGGAUGAGACUGAUGAUGAAAGGGGAAGACAUUUUCAUGAAAUGUAACAUCCCUAGAGAUGAAAACUACUUUGGUGUUGAGAUCAAGUAACUUGUAACCUUUUACCCCAAAUGGAUAACCAAGAAAAACACAAUGCUUACCUCGGGGAUCAAAUUUCUUUCUGUUUUGAGAUAGAGUAGAGGCAAAGCAUAAACAUCCAAAAAUUUUCAUGUGAGAAUAUGUGGGGGGAGUUUUAAAAAGAAGCUCAAGAGGUGUUUUAUUGGAAAGUAGAGGGGUGGGAAUUCAAUUGACAAUAUAAGCUGCAGUGAGGAUGCAGUCAUUCCAAUAGAGAUGAGGAAGGUUUGAUUGAAUUUUAAGGGCUCUGGCCAUAUUUAAGAGAUGUUGGUGCUUUCUUUCAGCUACCCCAUUUUGUUGUGGGGUUUCCACACAAGUUCUGUGAUGAAUAAUGCCUUUUUUAUUGAAAAAAUCUCUCAUUUGGAACUCAAGGUCAUUGUUACUUCUAAGAAUUUGUACUUGGGUGUGAAAUUGAGUUUCUACUAAAUUGCAAAAAGAUUCAAUACAUGACCUUGUAUUAGAUUUAGCUUUGAGCAAAUAGAUCCAAGUGCUCCUAGAAAAAUCAUCUACAAUGGUCAGAAAGUAUUUGGUACCAUCAUAGGCUUCAAUUGAAUUGGGUCCCCAUAUAUCACAGUGAAUAAUUUCAAAGA